ACAUCCAGCGAACUUGGCAGAGAUGCCUUGGUGCCUUCGGGAACGCUGAGACAGGUGCUGCAUGGCUGUCGUCAGCUCGUGUUGUGAAAUGUUGGGUUAAGUCCCGCAACGAGCGCAACCCUUAUCCUUUGUUGCCAGCGAUUCGGUCGGGAACUCAAAGGAGACUGCCGGUGAUAACCGGAGGAAGGUGGGGAUGACGUCAAGUCAUCAUGGCCCUUACGAGUAGGGCUACACACGUGCUACAAUGGCGCAUACAAAGAGAAGCGACCUCGCGAGAGCAAGCGGACCUCAUAAAGUGCGUCGUAGUCCGGAUCGGAGUCUGCAACUCGACUCCGUGAAGUCGGAAUCGCUAGUAAUCGUGGAUCAGAAUGCCACGGUGAAUACGUUCCCGGGCCUUGUACACACCGCCCGUCACACCAUGGGAGUGGGUUGCAAAAGAAGUAGGUAGCUUAACCCUCGGGAGGGCGCUUACCACUUUGUGAUUCAUGACUGGGGUGAAGUCGUAACAAGGUAAGCGUAGCGAG
This 524-nucleotide ribosomal RNA is filed under the name uncultured bacterium. RNAcentral describes it as "bacterial SSU rRNA". It matches the Rfam family "Bacterial small subunit ribosomal RNA", at positions 984 to 1509 of the family's 1533-position model. The record is from RNAcentral.